GACGUAGGAGGCGAGCGUUAUCCGGAUUCACUGGGCGUAAAGCGCAUGUAGGCGGUUGAUUAAGUCCGUUGUUAAAGCCCCUGGCUCAACUGGGGGAGGUCAAUGGAGACUAUUCGACUUGAGGGCAACAGAGGCACAUGGAACUCCCGGUGUAGCGGUGGAAUGCGUAGAGAUCGAGAGGAACACCCGUGGCGAAGGCGGCUCCCUGGCCGAACACUGACGCUGAGACGCGAAAGCGUGGGGAGCGAACGGG
This 253-nucleotide ribosomal RNA is filed under the name uncultured bacterium. RNAcentral's name for it is "partial 16S ribosomal RNA". It matches the Rfam family "Bacterial small subunit ribosomal RNA", at positions 524 to 776 of the family's 1533-position model. The record is from RNAcentral.